Molecule: ribosomal RNA, 405 nt
Filed under: uncultured bacterium
Lineage: Bacteria
Description: partial 16S ribosomal RNA
Rfam family: Bacterial small subunit ribosomal RNA
Source: RNAcentral
GACGAACGCUGGCGGCGUGCUUAACACAUGCAAGUCGAACGCGUGGCGAACGGGGGAGUAAUACGUGGGUAACCUGCCCUCUUUUUGGGCUAAGCCUUUGAAACCGGGUCUAAUACCGAAUUAGGGGGUUGGGCUCGCGGCGUAUCUGCUUGUUGGGGGGGUGAUGGCCUACCAAGGCGGUGACGGGUAGCCGGCCUGAGAGGGUGACCGGAAACAUUGGGAGGGAGAUACGGCCCAGACACGCACGGGAGGCAGGAGUGGGGGAUAUUGCACAAUGGGCGAGAAGCUGAUGCGGGGACGCCGAGAGGGGGAUGAAGGCUGUCGGGUUGUAAACCUGUGUCGAAAUCGAACGGGUAGGUGGAGAAGAAGCGCCGGCUAACUACGUGCCAGCAGCCGCGGUAAUUC